Molecule: ribosomal RNA, 468 nt
Filed under: uncultured bacterium
Lineage: Bacteria
Description: partial 16S ribosomal RNA
Rfam family: Bacterial small subunit ribosomal RNA
Source: RNAcentral
GAUGAACGCUGGCGGCGUGCUUAACACAUGCAAGUCGAACGGGAAGGCCCAAUCUUGCUUGGGUACUCGAGUGGCGAACGGGUGAGUAACACGUGGGUGAGGUGCCCUGCACUGCGGGAUAAGGCUAGGAAACUGGGUGUAAUACCGGAUAGGACGGUGGUUGGGAUGCCAGUGGGGAAAGUUUUUUCGGUGUGGGGUGGGCGCGCGGCCUAUCAGCUUGUUGGUGGGGUAAUGGACUACCAAGGCGGCGACGGGUAGCCGGCCUGAGAGGGUGUACGGACACACUGGGCCGGGACUACGGCCCAGCCUCCUACGGGAGGCAGGAGUGGGGAAUAUUGUACAAUGGGCGGAAGCAUGACGCAGCGAAGCCGCGUGGGGGAUGACGGCAUUGGGGUUGUAAACUCCUCUCGCUAGGGACGAAGAGUUUUUGUGACGGUACCUGGAGAAGAAGCACCGGCUAACUACGUG